Molecule: long non-coding RNA, 978 nt
Filed under: Sinocyclocheilus grahami
Lineage: Eukaryota; Metazoa; Chordata; Actinopteri; Cypriniformes; Cyprinidae
Description: lncRNA (ENSSGRG00000002430.1)
Source: RNAcentral
CUUUGGCUGAUAAGAAAAAGAAAGACGUGUAAAGAUACUCUCCAUGUGUUUAAAGAUGCCAGAACCAACUGAUGCGAUGAUAACCACGCCAUUUUACCAGCAACAGCAGUAUGAAGUAUCCAAGUUCCUGAAGAUCAAGCCGUUGGUUUUGGGGAUUUUGGAAAUAUUGAUAGCCUUAUUGGGACUCGGUUUGACUAUCUGGAAUGAGAGUUUUUUCGUUAUCUGGUCACCAAUCAUUUUCAUCAUAAUUGGAGCUAUAACAGUCUCGGCUGCACACACACGUACACCGCGUCUGGUCAAAACCUCUCAAAUGCUCAGCUAUGCAAAUUUUGCAGUAGUUGUUUUCUCCCUCCGCGCUCACUUUAUUUACAUUCGGGUUACUCCAGAUGUGUCCUUCUAUGUCCUUUUCAUCUGUGAUAUUCUGAUCUUCAUCUUCUCUCUUGCUGUUGCUGUAACCUCCUGUUCCUGUUGCUGCGGACCAAAGUCAACCCCUGUCAUGGUCAGUUAUGUGACCACAGAUAUGCCUGUCAACCACAUCAUGCAGAUGGGCCAGCCGGACCCCUCUGCAGAGGCCCAGCCUAUUAGUUCAGUCAUGUACGUGCUGCCAGCAGCACACGGCUCAGUCCCACCUGCGACUCUGCCAAAUUACGGUCACGUCCCCAAUGCAUCUCCACCAAUGUACAGUCCAGUACCAACUACACCUCCAUCCAACUACGACAAAGUCUCUGAUGCACUUCCACCAAAGUACUGUCCAGUCCCAACUGCUUCUCCACCAGCAUAUGAGCAUGAAGAUUUUCAGACCAGAAGAUGAAUAAUAUCUCAGACAAAAAUUGGAAUGUUUGACAUUUACUAAAUUUUUUGUGUAAUGGUGAAUGGAAAACCAAAAAUUAUACUUAUAAGUUUGUAAAUCGAAUGGAUGAGAAACAUGCAUCAGAGUCUUACGUUUUCAUUAUGUUUAAUUCGUUAUGUUUUCCACCA